Molecule: ribosomal RNA, 498 nt
Filed under: uncultured bacterium
Lineage: Bacteria
Description: partial 16S ribosomal RNA
Rfam family: Bacterial small subunit ribosomal RNA
Source: RNAcentral
GACGAACGCUGGCGGCGUGCCUAAUACAUGCAAGUCGAGCGGACGAAUCGAAAGCUUGCUUUUGAUUCGUUAGCGGCGGACGGGUGAGUAACACGUGGGCAACCUGCCCUGUAGACGGGGAUAACACCGAGAAAUCGGUGCUAAUACCGGAUAACACGAAAUGUCGCAUGACGUUUCGUUGAAAGACGGCGCAAGCUGUCGCUACAGGAUGUGCCCGCGGCGCAUUAGCUAGUUGGUGAGGUAACGGCUCGCCAAGGCGACGAUGCGUAGCCGACCUGAGAGGGUGAUCGGCCACACUGGGACUGAGACACGGCCCAGACUCCUACGGGAGGCAGCAGUAGGGAAUCUUCCGCAAUGGACGAAAGUCUGACGGAGCAACGCCGCGUGAGCGAAGAAGGCCUUCGGGUCGUAAAGCUCUGUUGUUAGGGAAGAACAAGUAACGCAGUAACUGGCGUUACCGUGACGGUACCUAACGAGAAAGCCACGGCUAACUACGUG